Molecule: long non-coding RNA, 373 nt
Filed under: Androctonus crassicauda
Lineage: Eukaryota; Metazoa; Arthropoda; Arachnida; Scorpiones; Buthidae
Source: RNAcentral
CUUAUAUUGCCAUUUGUAUUUUUCAAUGUUAUCUUUUCUAUUUUUGUUUCUUUCCUCCUUUAAUAGUAAAGGAAAUAGUUGUUACAGAAAGCCUAUUAAACUAGGACAAAAUGAAGAUGCAGAAGGCGAAAAUCAAAGUAAUAUUUCAAAAAAUCUAGAACGUAAAAUUAAAAGACACAAGAGAAUAUUAGAAGCAAAAAAAGCAAGACGAAAAAAGAAAAAGGAACAUAGAAAAGAAAAGUUGGCUGAAUUAAAAAAAGCAGAACUUGACUGAGGGCUGCAAAUAAAUGGACUAAGAGCUGCUUGUAGCCCAAGGCUACCAGUGAAAAUAUUCCUGAUCUAGAAUUAAUUUACCUCACUCUCAUUUUCAGAG